RNAcentral lists this ribosomal RNA (458 nucleotides) under uncultured Desulfobulbus sp. Its description in RNAcentral is "bacterial SSU rRNA". It matches the Rfam family "Bacterial small subunit ribosomal RNA", at positions 930 to 1382 of the family's 1533-position model. Lineage: Bacteria; Pseudomonadati; Thermodesulfobacteriota; Desulfobulbia; Desulfobulbales; Desulfobulbaceae. The record is from RNAcentral.
CGGUGGAGGUAUGUGGUUUAAUUCGAUGCAACGCGAAGAACCUUACCUGGUCUUGACAUCCCGGAGACCCUUAGGAAACUAGGGGUGCUUCCAUCUGGAAGAAUCUGGAGACAGGUGCUGCAUGGCUGUCGUCAGCUCGUGUCGUGAGAUGUUGGGUUAAGUCCCGCAACGAGCGCAACCCUUGCCUUUAGUUGCCAGCAGUUCGGCUGGGCACUCUAAAGGGACUGCCGGUGUUAAACCGGAGGAAGGUGGGGAUGACGUCAAGUCCUCAUGGCCUUUAUGACCAGGGCUACACACGUACUACAAUGGCCGAUACAAAGGGCAGCGACACUGCGAGGUGAAGCCAAUCCCGUAAAAUCGGUCUCAGUCCGGAUUGGAGUCUGCAACUCGACUCCAUGAAGUUGGAAUCGCUAGUAAUCGUGGAUCAGCAUGCCACGGUGAAUACGUUCCCGGGCCUU